This 207-nucleotide ribosomal RNA is filed under the name uncultured bacterium. RNAcentral describes it as "partial 16S ribosomal RNA". It matches the Rfam family "Bacterial small subunit ribosomal RNA", at positions 568 to 774 of the family's 1533-position model. The record is from RNAcentral.
UGCGUAGGUGGUUGGUUAAGUUUGAGGUGAAAGCUCCGAGCUCGACUCGGAAAAUGCCUUGAAGACUAUCUGACUAGAGGAUUGGAGGGGAGAUUGGAAUUCUCGGUGUAGCAGUGAAAUGCGUAGAUAUCGAGAGGAACACCAGUGGCGAAGGCGAAUCUCUGGACAAUUCCUGACACUGAGGCACGAAAGCCAAGGGAGCAAACG